UACAGAGGGUGCGAGCGUUAAUCGGAAUUACUGGGCGUAAAGCGCGCGUAGGCGGCUUUGCAAGUCGGGUGUGAAAUCCCCAGGCUUAACCUGGGAACUGCAUUCGAGACUGCAUUGCUAGAGUAUGGGAGAGGGAAGUGGAAUUUCCGGUGUAGCGGUGAAAUGCGCAGAUAUCAGGAGGAACACCGGUGGCGAAGGCGGUGAUCUGGGCCGGCACUGACGCUGAGGAGCGAAAGCGUGGGUAGCAAACAGG
This 253-nucleotide ribosomal RNA is filed under the name uncultured bacterium. RNAcentral describes it as "partial 16S ribosomal RNA". It matches the Rfam family "Bacterial small subunit ribosomal RNA", at positions 524 to 776 of the family's 1533-position model. The record is from RNAcentral.